Long non-coding RNA from Carassius gibelio (silver crucian carp), 1939 nucleotides. RefSeq lists it as uncharacterized. The record is from RefSeq and is a predicted model, not a curated record. The transcript is spliced from 3 exons. NCBI's taxonomy places the organism in Eukaryota, Metazoa, Chordata, Actinopteri, Cypriniformes, Cyprinidae.
UUUUUUGAGGCUCUUGCGGCAGCGAGAAUUGCGGCAGUAGGGAAGGAUGGAAAGGGCUCCUGCGGGAGCAGACACUGCUAUGGCAGUGGUGAAAUAUAGGUAGAGGCUCCUGCGGGAGCAGACACUGCUGCGGCAGUGGUGAAAUAUAGGUAGAGGCUCCUGCGGGAGAAGACACUGCUGCGGCAGUGGUGAAAUAUAGGUAGAGGCUCCUGCGGGAGCAGACACUGCUGCGGCAGUGGUGAAAUAUAGGUAGAGGCUCCUGCGGAAGCGGAGACUGCUGCGGCAGUGGUGAAAUAUAGGUAGAGGCUCCUGCGGGAGCAGACACUGCUGCGGCAGUGGUGAAAUAUAGGUAGAGGCUCCUGCGGGAGCAGACACUGCUGCGGCAGUGGUGAAAUAUAGGUAGAGGCUCCUGCGGGAGCAGACACUGCUGCGGCAGUGGUGAAAUAUAGGUAGAGGCUCCUGCGGAAGCGGAGACUGCUGCGGCAGUGAGGAAAAAACAGAAAAGGCUCCUGCAGGAGCGGACAAUACUGCGGCGGUGGGGAGAUAUAGAGAAGGCUCCUGCGGGAGCGGACAAUGCUGCGGCGGUGGGGAGAUACAGAGAAAGCUCCUGCGGAAGGAUGGCUGAAGUGAGGAUUGACCAUUACAGAUAGAUAGGGCAUGUUAGGAGAGUUAGCUAUGGUAGAUUAGGAGUUUUAGUGAAAGGGGAUGAGCUGGCGUUAGAGGGGUUGGCUGAAGAGGGUUCGAGAUAGAUAUAUAAAUAAAUAAAAUAAUCGGCCUGACCAAUAAUAGGUCUUGGUACCCUCUGCCUUCUGGCAAAUCUGGAGCUGGAGGCCACUGAACAGAAAAAUGGUUAGUAGCAUGAGGGAGCGGAAGAGUUGAGGGCGCGUUUACGAAUGGAGGCGGCCUCACGUUUGCUUCAGCUGCUGUAGCUGUGGGUCGUGGGAAGGGGCUGGGGUGUGUGAUGUCUUGAAGAACCUGUGUAGCCUGCACUGCUAGCAGAAGUAACAGGAUGGAAAUACUGAGAUGUGCAGGCCCGUGUUGCAAGUAAAAGUAGCUUCAUGCUUGCUUUGGCUGCUGUAGUUGUUGGCUGAUUUGACAAUUGCUCAAACCUUGUCUGAAUUAAUACAGUCCUGUUGGAAAAGCAUCUUUUCCUCUUGUUUUGGCCUUCGGGCCCUUUUAAACAGCCUCCGGAGCAGAUAAAUUUGGGAUGCUGUUUUCCUGUUGUAGUAUGGACUGUGAAAAUAGAGGCUUUGAAACGAUGUAGCAUGUUUAGUUUUAUAAACCAUUGUACCAAUAGACAUGUCUAUAGCAGUAACGUUAAUUGCAGUAAUUCAAAUUCAAGCCGUUUCUAAAGACAUUUACUUUGCAUGCUUUUCAUAUAACAGUCCUAAAAAGACGAUAGAAAAUUUACUCACACUUGUUGUUCUGCAGCCAAACACGAGGCAGUAGCGUGAAAAAUUCUGAAUAAUCAUGCCAGUAAAUGGUGAAAUAUGUCCCUAAAUAAUUGAUCCUGCCGGAAUAAUUGCAUGAAACUUAUGUCUGUAUCAUCUCAGUGAGGUUUAAACAUGCACAGUAAAGCAAAUGUAAUGUCUUUAGACAUUUCGGUGUGGAUGACAACUCUGCAAAAAGCCUUUGCUUCGUGGUUAAAAAGUGGCAUCGUCAUCGGACAGAGUUAAGUCAUAACGCCGUUUAACAAAUUUUGGCGUCUUCAUAAGCGCAUUCUAUAUAUAACGUCUAUUUAAAUUGUUCAGAUGAGCAAAUCACGAGGUUUUCUUGCAUGAUUAGCAUUUUAAUUGUUUGGUCAGACGGUUCAUAUAUUGAUCUAUAUAUUCACGUUCAUAAAUCGGGGAUUAAACGUGGAAUUUAUCUUUUGUAUGCUAAACAUGUAAACAAUAUGUGCACAGUACCUAUAACUGCGCUUUACAUUUUGCAAGAUUGA